Molecule: ribosomal RNA, 446 nt
Filed under: uncultured organism
Description: partial 16S ribosomal RNA
Rfam family: Bacterial small subunit ribosomal RNA
Source: RNAcentral
CACUCCUGCGGGAGGCAGCAGUGGGGAAUAUUGGACAAUGGGCGCAAGCCUGAUCCAGCCAUGCCGCGUGAGUGAUGAAGGCCCUAGGGUUGUAAAGCUCUUUCACCGGUGAAGAUAAUGACGGUAACCGGAGAAGAAGCCCCGGCUAACUUCGUGCCAGCAGCCGCGGUAAUACGAAGGGGGCUAGCGUUGUUCGGAUUUACUGGGCGUAAAGCGCACGUAGGCGGACUAUUAAGUCAGGGGUGAAAUCCCGGGGCUCAACCCCGGAACUGCCUUUGAUACUGGUAGUCUUGAGUUCGAGAGAGGUGAGUGGAAUUCCGAGUGUAGAGGUGAAAUUCGUAGAUAUUCGGAGGAACACCAGGGGCGAAGGCGGCUCACUGGCUCGAUACUGACGCUGAGGUGCGAAAGCGUGGGGAGCAAACAGGAUUAGAUACCCCAGUAGUCCC